RNAcentral lists this non-coding RNA (31 nucleotides) under Homo sapiens (human). Lineage: Eukaryota; Metazoa; Chordata; Mammalia; Primates; Hominidae. The record is from RNAcentral.
UGCGGCCCUCUCGUGAGUUGUAGCUUAGGUC